CAGCAGCCACGGGAAUACGUAGGGUGCAAGCGUUAAUCGGAAUUACUGGGCGUAAAGCGUGCGCAGGCGGUUUGUUAAGACAGAUGUGAAAUCCCCGGGCUCAACCUGGGAACUGCAUUUGUGACUGGCAAGCUAGAGUCUGGCAGAGGGGGGUGGAAUUCCGCGUGUAGCAGUGAAAUGCGUAGAUAUGCGGAGGAACACCGAUGGCGAAGGCAGCCCCCUGGGCCAACACUGACGCUCAUGCACGAAAGCGUGGGGAGCAAACAGGAUUAGAUACCCGCGUAGUCCCUGUCUCUUAUAA
This 301-nucleotide ribosomal RNA is filed under the name uncultured bacterium. RNAcentral's name for it is "partial 16S ribosomal RNA". It matches the Rfam family "Bacterial small subunit ribosomal RNA", at positions 509 to 809 of the family's 1533-position model. The record is from RNAcentral.